AUGGCAUUGGAGUUCCAGCAGGACAGAAAACUGAAUCUGGCAACCCAAACAACAAAACAGCUUGCUGGAAUAGCAUCUUACAAGUCCAUCUUCAAUGAUUAUGUACUUUUAUAUUCUUUUGAACAGGCAUUUGUGUUUUGUUUUGUGGAGCAAUUUUUUUUAUUCCACAUCUUGCAAGAAAAAGAUGGCUAUGUAAUUUCUGUUUAGAAAGAGGAAAGAUAUCUUCUUCCAUACUUCCUUGAAUUCGGACAAAAACUUAAAAAAGCCAAGAGGAGUCAAAAAGAGGAGUCAAUUGAAUCUUAGAAAAAAAUCAGAAGCAGAAACAAGCAGGAAAAGACUAUUUCCCUCUCAACAGGAACUGUCAUACGUUCAUCCUACUGGACUUAAAUGCCAAUAUGUAAUUUGACUGGUCACCAUUACAUCAACUCACUACUGUGGUAAGAAUUUUAUGGAAAGUACAUACCCAGGUCUUGUGCCCAAAUAACUUUGAGACAAACAUAUAUUAAAGCACUUUACAGAGAAAGGGCCAAAACAAAGCAAUUGAACAGCAGUUGAAAAUAUAUAUCAUAACGGAGAGUGAAGGGGACUUGGGAUGCAUAAAUAGAUGAGUGACUCUUUCAGUCUCAUUCACAUCUGGGCAGUUCAUUUGUUGUAAGCCUGGUUUUUCAGUAGUAGACACUUCUAAAUGAUAGUAUUGCUACUGAUAUGAAUUUUGAGGAAAGCUAAUGUUUUGCAAAGUAUAAUUUACAAUAACAUUCCAAGUUGGGUAGUAUUUAAGAAUAUCUUCCAUCCCUAGAGGAGGAAAGUUGAACCAGAGGGAGGGAACCAAUUUACUAAAGCAAAAACUGAAGUGCCAUGGAAGGUAGUAGAAAAUGUGGACUGUCAUUUCACUUUGAUGGAGUCUGUUGAUAAACCAUACCAGUUUAGCUAAACCUAAUCAGAGUUUUUAGACUCUAAAUGGAGGCAUUUAGGUUGGUUUAGUCCUCAGCCAAUAAUUUAUUAAUGCAAGAAUUAAACUCCCUAAAAUAUUUAAUUAUUAUUAUUUUUUGAAGUAGAGCUUAAAUCAAAUGAGUUAAAAUUGUAAAAACACUUUUCUAUAAACUUUCCCACCAGAAAAUACAGGAAAUCUUCCAGAGGUCUGAACUGCUGAAUUUCUAAAAUUUCUUUCAUGUGAGGCAACUGCGUGGAUCUUCUUCAUCUUCCUCAUGCUGAUAUUUUUUAGCCCUAUGACUAUCAGGUGAUUUAGCGUUCAGGAUCUUUAGCCAUUCGUUGAGCUGCCUCAUCAGUGGCUGUGACUUGUGCAAUUAGCUGAUGCUAUGUAAGUUUUUGCUUUUCUCACCUGAGGUCAGAUAGUCUCCAAAACCAAACAGAAAAACAAAUCAGAUUGCUCAGGCAAUCAAGGAUCUUUAAACUGAGAGUGGUAAGAAUAUAUAAUCCUCCUUCUCAUUUAAAGGAAAUAAUGCCAUCACUGAUACCAUAUAUCUCCAUCAACCAAGUUAGCUUACAACCAAAUAGAAGGCAGAAGCAUAGGUGAUUUAGACCAAAGAUUCAGUUUGACCAGCUCACUGAAGUGUGAGGCUACACCUACAAUCUUAAUUUUGUGGUGUUUUUCUAAUGACACAACAAAAUUUCAUUUUUAAAAUUAAUGAAAAAAUAGAAAGGUGUUUCAGACCUGGGCUUCAGUUUCAGCAGAUAUGUUUCCAGUUGUUGAUGCUGGCAUAUGAUAUAGAAUGUUAAACACUGUAGUAAGCAGGAAAAAUGUGCUUGAAACAAUUUGUUUUCAGUUUAAGAAUUUAUAUAGACUCUAAUCUCUGGAUCUGGCUAGGUGGCAAAGUGUGUAUGACUGUGUGAAUAAAUGUCUAUAAUUCUAUGUGUCUUACCUUCUU
This 1886-nucleotide long non-coding RNA is filed under the name Anser cygnoides (Swan goose). Its description in RNAcentral is "lncRNA (ENSACDG00005002891.1)". The record is from RNAcentral. Lineage: Eukaryota; Metazoa; Chordata; Aves; Anseriformes; Anatidae.